Molecule: long non-coding RNA, 339 nt
Organism: Bombus pascuorum
Lineage: Eukaryota; Metazoa; Arthropoda; Insecta; Hymenoptera; Apidae
Exons: 2
Source: RefSeq, a predicted model, not a curated record
UUCUACCUGAUAGUGUCAGAUAGAGGUCAUAUAUGGUUCCUCGCCUUACUGGUGGCAGGCGCUUACUGCGUUGGCUGUUCAGAGCCAUCGCAACGUCCGCUUCCAGCGUUCAGCGGCAAAAAUCGGUAAACGAAAAAUCACGGUUUAACGAAUGCAAAAACCUUCACGUUUUUCAUAUUGAACAAAUCUUUUUGAGGACAUCUUUAGCACAAUCAUUUUUAUAAUAUAUCAUAUGUAACAAGAUGUACCUUGUAAUGACCCCAUGUUUGAGAGAUACAAAAGCUGAUUUUGUACUUGAUAUUCAUGAGAGGCAAUUAAAUAUUAUGAAAUUUGCAACUA